GGAGUUGUGGUUCAGUGGUAGAAUUCUUGCCUUCCUUGCAGGAGACCUGGUAUUGACUCCUGGCAACUGCA
This 71-nucleotide transfer RNA is filed under the name Loxodonta africana (African savanna elephant). It matches the Rfam family "tRNA". From Rfam's summary of the family: Transfer RNA (tRNA) molecules are approximately 80 nucleotides in length. Their secondary structure includes four short double-helical elements and three loops (D, anti-codon, and T loops). The record is from Rfam by way of RNAcentral. Lineage: Eukaryota; Metazoa; Chordata; Mammalia; Proboscidea; Elephantidae.